Salvelinus sp. IW2-2015 is the source of this 1244-nucleotide long non-coding RNA. RefSeq lists it as uncharacterized. The record is from RefSeq and is a predicted model, not a curated record. NCBI's taxonomy places the organism in Eukaryota, Metazoa, Chordata, Actinopteri, Salmoniformes, Salmonidae.
UCUUCAUGCUACACCAACCAGGGCCUGUCCCUAUGCUCCACCAACCAGGGCCUGUCCCCAUGCUACACCAACCAGGGCCUUUCUUCAUGCUGCACCAACCAGGCCUGUCUUCAUGCUCCACCAAACCAGGGCCUGUCCCCAUGCUCCACCAACCAGGGCCUGUCCCCAUGCUCCACCAACCAGGGCCUGUCUUCAUGCUCCACCAACCAGGGCCUGUCUUGGUGCUCCACCAACCAGGGCCUGUCUUCAUGCUCCACCAACCAGGGCCUGUCUUGGUGCACAUCCUAAUCUUGAGUAUAAACAGAAUAUUUCCUACUUUAUUAAAGUUGCUCCCUAGUCCUCUGUUUGUUUAUCUUGUGCUAUUUCCGUGUGUGUGUGUGUGUGUGUGUGUGUGUGUGUGGGGCCCCUCUGUAAAGGUUAAUUCUAUAUCCUGUCUGUCAUAAGUGCUGUAGUCAUGUACAGUAGCUGUUGCUGUAAAUAAACCUAGCUUUUCAGGAUGUUGACUCCAUAGAGUUUGUCCCGAUGCCUCAGUCAUAAUAGUAACCAAUUCUAUGAUAGUAACACUGCAGGGUUUAUUAAAUAUACUGGAGUGUUCAGAAUGACAUAUUAUAAAUAAUUUAACAGGAUCUCUGUGCUGGAGUGUUCAGAAUGACAUAUUAUGAAUCAUUUAACAGGAUCUCUGUGCUGGAAUGUUCAGAAUGUCUGUCUGUGACAGAACAUGCUAAUGAUUGACAGUUUUUGGCUCUUACGUCAUAUGGUGAUAUGAAGCAAGUCACUACUACACCAGUCAUGUGCCCAUUGACCCCCGUUACAGUCAUGACAUCACAUGACUAAGGCACCACACCACUGGUUGGACUCGUUAGCCCACCCUCAGGAAGUAUGCUCUGUUCUCUUUAUCAUGCAAGUCACUAGUAAACAGAUUCAACCUUGUCCUUUUUCAGCAAUCUACCUUGUGUUUAGUCAGGUCUGAACCCAACGAUGUACUUACCGCUCAACUACUGUGAUAUCCGUUGGAACAACUGUUGGGACAAAUGUACUGAAGUAAAACAGCACUACCUCUAAAAUGAGUCUCUCAGAGGUGAAUGAGGAGGGCGCUGACGCAACCAGGCGUAUCUUUGAGAAUCCCGACACCGUAAAAGGAGCUGAAAGGGUUCAUCAGAAGAGACCAGUCUCCCCUGUACCCAGCUGUCUGUCCAUGAAGAGUGACUGGUCUAAGGAUGUACCUCUAUUAUUCGGGUCGGAGA